This 460-nucleotide ribosomal RNA is filed under the name uncultured bacterium. RNAcentral's name for it is "partial 16S ribosomal RNA". It matches the Rfam family "Bacterial small subunit ribosomal RNA", at positions 338 to 795 of the family's 1533-position model. The record is from RNAcentral.
CCUACGGGAGGCAGCAGUGAGGAAUAUUGGUCAAUGGGCGGAAGCCUGAACCAGCCAAGCCGCGUGCAGGAUGAAGGCGCCAAGCGUCGUAAACUUCUUUUAUCCGGGAACAAAGGGCCCCACGUGUAUCGUUGUGCAUGUACCGGACGAAUAAGCAUCGGCUAACUCCGUGCCAGCAGCCGCGGUAAUACGGAGGGUCCGGGCGUUAUCCGGAUUUAUUGGGUUUACAGGGUGCGUAGGCCGUCUGUAAAGUGCGCUGUUAAAGGCCCGGGCUCAACCCCGGCCAAGCAGUGGAAACUGGCGGACUAGAGACCGCGAGAAGUACGCGGAAUGCGUGGUGUAGCGGUGAAAUGCAUAGAUAUGGCGCAGAACUCCGAUUGCGAAGGCAGCGUACCGCCGCGGGACUGACGCUGAUGCACGAAAGCGUGGGUAUCGAACAGGAUUAGAUACCCGUGUAGUC